Molecule: long non-coding RNA, 972 nt
Organism: Cavia porcellus (domestic guinea pig)
Lineage: Eukaryota; Metazoa; Chordata; Mammalia; Rodentia; Caviidae
Exons: 2
Source: RefSeq, a predicted model, not a curated record
GUUUCCUCCUUGCUGUUUGCAGCUGCCAUGAACUGCGGCCCAGCCAUGCCAGCCUGCCUUGGAGCCAACUGAGUAUGGACUGAAACCUCCAAAAACUUUGCAGGAGGAAUGAGUCAUGGAGAUCUGUUCACACCAUGCGGACCACACCUCACACAGCUAUGGAUGAGGAGGUUUUCUUUCUUCUUUUGAACAAAGAAUGUUCUUUCAAGAUAAGGAGGUUGAUGAAGAAAUUCUCCACUGGACACAAAGAAGAUCUGAAGAGAUGCACUGUGUGUGUCUCCCUCUGGCGGAAGACAGGAGAAUUUCACUGCUAAGCAUGUUACCUGUCUCAUGCUGUCAUCUUCAGAGUAGCUUUCCUUUGAAAAAAGUGAAAAAUCAGGAUGAUCAAACAGAAUUUAAACUUCUCUACUACUGUCAAAAAUGAAAACUUUGUCCAAUGAUAUACGACUUCAGCAGAGCACCUGUCUGGCAAUUUGAGGCUGUGACUUUGAUCAUUGGUAGCAGAAAAAAAAUGAAGAUGAUGUUUAAUGACUAUAGUAAAUAACUUUCUAUAAGAAUAGGAAUUGUUUGUAAAACAACAGACAAUAAAAAUGUAUUAAAACCUCUGAGAAAUUACACACACCAUUAUUUUCUGUAAAAGGUGAAACCAUGAGAAAGAAACCAAAUUCACAAAAAUAUUAGAUGUUCAUUAAAGAUAUUUUAUUCACUUUACUGACACCACAAGUAAAGUGGACAGAAAUAGUUUCAAAGAUUUUUAGGAAAUCCUAACAUAUUAAGUCCUGAAAAACACAGGGUAACAAAGGCUGAAAUCUUUGACAGAGUAAGAAAAUAGGGCUGGAAAUGUACAAAAUCAAAAAUACUGACCCAGGAUAAAAUGGAAAUGGAAGACAGAUCAAUACUGUAAUCCUCUACUGAACUGCAAACUUUGAGAAGAUGCAUGUAAUGAAUAAAGCAUAUUUAUUUGACAAAUCA